GUGAACGCUGGCGGUAGGCCUAACACAUGCCAGUCGCACGGCAGCACAGUAAGCGCUUGCUCUUACGGGUGGCGAGUGGCGGACGGGUGAGGAAUACAUCGGAAUCUACUUUUUCGUGGGGGAUAACGUAGGGAAACUUACGCUAAUACCGCAUACGACCUACGGGUGAAAGCAGGGGAUCUUCGGACCUUGCGCGAUUGAAUGAGCCGAUGUCGGAUUAGCUAGUUGGCGGGGUAAAGGCCCACCAAGGCGACGAUCCGUAGCUGGUCUGAGAGGAUGAUCAGCCACACUGGAACUGAGACACGGUCCAGACUCCUACGGGAGGCAGCAGUGGGGAAUAUUGGACAAUGGGCGCAAGCCUGAUCCAGCCAUACCGCGUGGGUGAAGAAGGCCUUCGGGUUGUAAAGCCCUUUUGUUGGGAAAGAAAAGCAGCAGGUUAAUACCCCGCUGUUCUGACGGUACCCAAAGAAUAAGCACCGGCUAACUUCGUG
RNAcentral lists this ribosomal RNA (491 nucleotides) under uncultured bacterium. RNAcentral describes it as "partial 16S ribosomal RNA". It matches the Rfam family "Bacterial small subunit ribosomal RNA", at positions 29 to 507 of the family's 1533-position model. The record is from RNAcentral.